This 253-nucleotide ribosomal RNA is filed under the name uncultured bacterium. RNAcentral describes it as "partial 16S ribosomal RNA". It matches the Rfam family "Bacterial small subunit ribosomal RNA", at positions 524 to 776 of the family's 1533-position model. The record is from RNAcentral.
UACGUAGGGGGCAAGCGUUGUCCGGAAUCACUGGGCGUAAAGGGCGCGUAGGCGGCUGGUGAAGUCUUGUGUGAAAGUCCGGGGCUCAACCCCGGAUCGGCACGGGCGACUCGCUGGCUGGAGCCCACUAGAGGCGGGUGGAAUUCCGGGUGUAGCGGUGGAAUGCGUAGAGAUCCGGAAGAACACCGGUGGCGAAGGCGGCCCGCUGGGGUGGAGCUGACGCUGAGGCGCGACAGCGUGGGGAGCAAGCAGG